UGCAAGCGUUAAUCAGAAUUACUGGGCGUAAAGAGCUCGUAGGCGGUUAUUUAAGUCAGAUGUGAAAUCCCUGGGCUCAACCUAGGAACCGCAUUUGAAACUGAAUAACUAGAGUUUCGUAGAGGGAGGUAGAAUUCUAGGUGUAGCGGUGAAAUGCGUAGAUAUCUGGAGGAAUACCUGUGGCGAAAGCGACCUCCUGGACGAAAACUGACGCUGAGGUGCGAAAGCAUGGGGAGCAAACAGGAUUAGAUACCCUGGUAGUCCAUGCCGUAAACGAUGUCGACUUAGAGGUUGUUUCCUAAGAGAAAUGACUUCUGUAGCUAACGCGUUAAGUCGACCGCCUGGGGAGUACGGUCGCAAGGCUAAAACUCAAAUGAAUUGACGGGGGCCCGCACAAGCGGUGGAGCAUGUGGUUUAAUUCGAUGCAACGCGAAAAACCUUACCUGGUCUUGACAUCCAUAGAAUUUUGUAGAAAUAUAGAAGUGCCUUCGGGAACUAUGAGACAGGUGCUGCAUGGCUGUCGUCAGCUCGUGUUGUGAAAUGUUGGGUUAAGUCCCGCAACGAGCGCAACCCUUAUCUUUUGUUACCAGCGGUUCGGCCGGGGACUCAAGGGAGACUGCCGGUUAUAAACCGGAGGAAGGUGGGGACGACGUCAAGUCAUCAUGGCCCUUACGACCAGGGCUACACACGUGCUACAAUGGUAUAUACAAAGAGAAGCAACUCUGCGAAGAUAAGCAAACCUCAUAAAGUGUAUCGUAGUCCGGACUGGAGUCUGCAACUCGACUCCACGAAGUCGGAAUCGCUAGUAAUCGUGUAUCAGAAUGUCACGGUGAAUACGUUCCCGGGCCUUGUACACACCGCCCGUCACACCAUGGGAGUGAGUUGCAAAAGAAG
Molecule: ribosomal RNA, 894 nt
Filed under: Buchnera aphidicola (Cinara cuneomaculata)
Lineage: Bacteria; Pseudomonadati; Pseudomonadota; Gammaproteobacteria; Enterobacterales; Erwiniaceae
Description: bacterial SSU rRNA
Rfam family: Bacterial small subunit ribosomal RNA
Source: RNAcentral